Petromyzon marinus (sea lamprey) is the source of this 906-nucleotide long non-coding RNA. RefSeq lists it as uncharacterized. Lineage: Eukaryota; Metazoa; Chordata; Hyperoartia; Petromyzontiformes; Petromyzontidae. The record is from RefSeq and is a predicted model, not a curated record.
CUCCCGCUUUAAUGGGGCAUUGCCUCCCCUCUGAAUUAUUUACUGUGUUCUCUGAGUGUAGAUGAUUGUAAUGGACUGAACUGGAUAAUGGGGAGCAGCUAAUAUAUGGCUAAGGUGAUGAUGAUAAUGCUGAGAAUGGUUGUGAUGGUGUUGCAGUGUUGGUGAUAAUGACGGUGGUGGUGGUGAUGACGGUGGUGAUGGUAAUGAAACGUGAACUUAUUUAAACGGACAUCUGCGUUCAGGGCUGGCCUGCCUACGAUCCAUCCCGGGUUAAACCAGACUGGAUCACAGUGUGAGGAGCUGGCAGAUCCUUGAAAGAUCUGAACACGGUGCCAUCGGUGAGCUCCUCCAGGAGGCGAGGCUGCGUUGGCUGGGUCAAGGAGCCACCGCACGCCCAGGCAGCUUCUGUUUGGCCGGAGAGAGGGGCCUCAGGGCGCACGACACGGGCAAGAGAAGAGUGCGGAUGCAUCGACGUGCACGAUCGGACACCCUUUGCAGAAGUGUGGGUGGGAAAGUGCUGCCCCCCCCCCACCGCGUCGGCAGAGAUUUGCCGAAGGGGACGCCGGGACGGAGGUCACCAACAUGGACGAGGAUGCGGGCACGGCUCAAGAUGAGCAGCAGGAGGAGGAGGAACGCUGAUCAGGAGGAGGAGAGAGACGAUGUCUCGCAUGCUGAGAGGGCGACGAUGAACUGCACGGAGGAGCAGCGCCUGUUGUUUUAACAGGGGACGGGCGAGAGGUUAUUUUAUUGUUUUAUUUGACGAGGUAAAACCCAUGCUGAGCUACGUAGCUCUUUUCAGAAGCGACCUGGCCGUCACAGAUGAUGGAUCGACGCAGUUGUCUCGUCGCGUGGAAAUGUACAGCAGCAGCAGCAGCUACAUUCUCUAAACGCGUUGCGGCGUUGUUG